GACAGACAGCGAAGCAAAGGCGGCCACGGAACUCGCCAAUCGCACUCCGCCGCCGCCAGCUUCAUAUCUGCAUCGCAGCCUCACGCAGUCGCAACAACAUUCCGAGAGCGGCAGAGGGAGACCGAGAGGGGAGAGAGCUCCGCUUCGCCCUUCUCCGCCGCAUUGGCCGUGGUCUCGCCGCCGUCGAGGAUAAGAAGCAUUGCAUAAUUGUGGAUCAUGGGUCUCUUAGAGCUCUUCACCACAGCAUGUGUGCCAGUAUUUAACAUGCUUCUGGUGACUGGUGUUGGGUCGUUCUUAGCAACUGAUUUUGCUGGCUUACUAAGCAAAGAAGCAAGAAGACACUUGAACAAUAUAGUAUUUUAUGUAUUCAAUCCAUCCCUUGUUGCAAUCUAUUUGGGAAAAACAAUCACCAUGGAAAGCUUGGCUAAACUGUGGUUUAUGCCAGUGAAUAUUCUUCUUGCUUUUAUCUUCGGUUUAUUCUUGGGAUGGAUCGUGGUAAAAGUUACAGGAGCGCCUGCGAAGCUAAGAGGCCUUAUUUUGGGUUGUUGUUCUGCUGGUAACCAAGUGCAAUUUCGACAAUAUCUUUCUCACCAUCAUUCCAGCUCUUUGCAAAGAGAAGGGAAGCCCGUUUGGAAAACCUGAUGUUUGUCAGACUUAUGGACUAUUAUAUUCUUCACUGUCAAUGGCUGCAAGUCCAUUCUGCUUGAGUAUUUAGUAUAAUUUCCAGAUCGCAUUGGAGCUGUGUUUCUAUGGUCGAUUGUGUAUAAUAUUGUCCGUGCCACGUCAAAUGUGACCGAAGGAGAUGGCGGUGCUCAAACAAAAGUGUUAAUUUCAGGAAGUGCUACAGAAAAUAUUGCAGAAGAGAACUGCUCAGCCUCAAAUGAUCACACUGAUGAAUGUAUACUGCCAUUGAUAUCCACAAACAUACCUCCAACCAAAUAUAAGGUUCUGUUGUUGGAGAGAUCGCGGAAGUUUUUAUCGUCGGCUUUUGAAACAGUUGACUUGAAGAAGCUCUUUGCUCCUUCAACCAUUGCAGUGAUUGUUGGGUUCAUCAUUGGAGGAACACCUUUCAUCAGAAAUGCUAUAAUCGGAGACACUGCCCCUCUUCGUGUCCUGCAGGAAUCUGCUGAAUUGAUAGGCGGAGCGGCAAUUCCAUCGGUCACGUUGAUUAUGGGAGCAAACCUUCUCAACGGUAAUCUGCUCUGAAUUUACAGACCGCAGUUUCAGACCACUCCAAUGCAAUGCAAUGCAAUGCUGUGCUAUCAUCCACUGCCGUGCCGUAUUAGGACAAAAUAAGAUCAGAUGACUACAUGAAUCUGGUGAGCGCAAGCAUGAUGUGUGGACCUGUUUCCACUUUCCAGGAGUACGAGGUGGAGCAAGCGUCCAGCCGUCCGUUAUAGCCGGCGUCGUGGUUGUCAGAUACCUCCUGCUCCCUCUGCUGGGCACCGCGCUGGUGAAGGGCGCCGUCCGCCGGUGUUUAGCACUGUUUAAACAUGCAAUUAACAUAAAAUGACACGUUAAACCCCCAAAUUUGCAAUUACUUAAAAGCCAGGGAUCCGUUCAAAUAGACCGAAAAGUCAACUCUCACACCUUCGCUCAAAUGAACUUUUGCCCAAAACAAAAGUUGUAGAGUUUUGUAAGACAAGCAACUUUCGUAUUCAAAGUUUUUCAAGUUACAACAUGAAAUUUGGAGCAAACCUCGAAAAACAGUAGGUUUAGGGGGGUUUCGUUUAAACUUGAAUUCGAAUUUUUAACUUUCAAAUCAUUACUCAAACGAAGUUUGGACUGAAAGGAAAGUUGUAGGAAUUUGAAUUUUGAACAACUUUCGUGUUCAAACUUUUUCGAGUUUCCAUGGAAAAUUUUAAGAAAAUUCCGAGUCAAAACGUUGACCUCU
This is an RNA transcript of Panicum virgatum (switchgrass), 1894 nucleotides long. It is a transcript of the gene named protein PIN-LIKES 1-like, with no coding region annotated. NCBI's taxonomy places the organism in Eukaryota, Viridiplantae, Streptophyta, Magnoliopsida, Poales, Poaceae. The record is from RefSeq and is a predicted model, not a curated record. The transcript is spliced from 9 exons.